Molecule: ribosomal RNA, 468 nt
Filed under: uncultured bacterium
Lineage: Bacteria
Description: partial 16S ribosomal RNA
Rfam family: Bacterial small subunit ribosomal RNA
Source: RNAcentral
GACGAACGCUGGCGGCGUGCUUAACACAUGCAAGUCGAACGGAAAGGCCCUGCUUUUGUGGGGUGCUCGAGUGGCGAACGGGUGAGUAACACGUGAGUAACCUGCCCUUGACUUUGGGAUAACUUCAGGAAACUGGGGCUAAUACCGGAUAGGAGCUCCUGCUGCAUGGUGGGGGUUGGAAAGUUUCGGCGGUUGGGGAUGGACUCGCGGCUUAUCAGCUUGUUGGUGGAGUAGUGGCUGACCAAGGCUUUGACGGGUAGCCGGCCUGAGAGGGUGACCGGCCACAUUGGGACUGAGAUACGGCCCAGACGCCUACGGGAGGCAGCAGUGGGGAAUAUUGCACAAUGGGCGGAAGCCUGAUGCAGCAACGCCGCGUGCGGGAUGACGGCCUUCGAGUUGUGAACCGCUUUCGCCUGUGACGAAGCGUGAGUGACGGUAAUGGGUAAAGAAGCACCGGCUAACUACGUG